UUAAAUUUCAGCGCAGAUGAUCCUACAAAAGUAUCUUACACCAGAAUAAUAUCCAUAUCUAUUUAAAAACGUUAAUCGCUAAUAAUUAGUUGCUGCUAAACUAUUUUUAAACUAUUUGAAAUUUUCUAAGAUGAAUUAAAAUAUACACGCUUGAUGGAAGCUUAGAUAGAAUGAGGAAGACACAUUAAUAAUCUCUGGAUAUUCAAUACACGCAUCUUCUAAACGAUGCGAGUGCCACAAUUAUAUGGAUUUUACCUGGUACAGGCUAAUAUGAUAGAGGCAAGAACCAUUGCGAUUGUUUUCUUGUGCCUUUUCUACAAAUGUACCAAAUGAAUUAAUGUUAAGUUGGCAUGUUCAAUGUUAAAAAUGAUUGGAACAGUAGAUUUUGUAUUUAAACUGUUUGACUAAAACCACAUAGUUUCUGUUGGAUUCAUUAAAUUUUUUUAAUCAUUUGAGUGAAAUGGAAAGUCACAGAAAUCAUUAAAGGAGCAUAUUAGCCGUUUAAUGGGAACAAUUGCACAACGUCAUUCCACAUAAGAAGAGGGAAUGCCUUUACAGCUGUUGACAAGGAGUACGGAUAGCAGCUGUCCAGAUGGCCUGAAAGCAUUUUACUGUUUCACACAAAGUAAUAUCGGCUGGAUGACACUUAAUAGAUACCAGUUUGCAUGAUAAAGGUAUGCCACCAACCACCGUAUUUUCUCAGUUUCAUACACGUGCCAUCUGUCUAUAUCACUUUUGCUGGAAGCGAGGCAGUAUUCGCUUAAGGUACGUCCAUGUAUCCAAAGGCACAAUAUUGACAUACUUUCACCGAAAUGAUCGCAGUACAAUGGAUGGCAUCCGGAAUUUUUAGCAAGCGCAUAUUGGAACUCGGAGCCUUUAAAAUGAAAUAUUGCAUGAAGAUCCAACAGAUGCAGUUUGUAGAAUUAUAAAUAUUAGACCAAACCUAAAAUGCAUAUUUGGUACCAAAAUAUUGUCAAUGAUCUGCAUAGUUGAAAUGCGAGUGCAUAUGGGGUUAACAUUACUUGAGGACAUCAAUACAUCUCUAAAAUGUUUUAUUCUUCCAUUUUUAAGGUUUUGAAUAUUUAUAUAUUUUUGGAGAAUUGUUUCAACGAAUGCAGUAAUUCAUUUCGAACUUGGAAAAGGUUGAAGUGCAUGAAAUGUACAUCAUUCAAAGCCUGUUUGGCAUAUGAAUCAAUAUUUCUAAAGUUUUGGAAAUUGUUAAGCUUUUGGUUCAUUAUAUUUCCUUCAAAGUUGAUGUUUAUAUUCUACUCUUUUAGAAACAAGUAUUUUUUUAAAUAUUCUAGACAUGUGAAACAUUUUUAUGGAUAAAUUAAAAUUUGUAAGUGUGUUUGAUUUUUCUAAGUUAUCUAAAACCAAUUUCCAACAAGACCGAAAGAAGAAUUUUUCUCUCAGGAUGUAUAAAAUUGACUUGAAAAUUUCAUUUGUAACCAUACUCUUAUUAAAAGUUGGUAAGUUAAACUUUUUUUUACUGACCCAGCAAUAUAGCCAGGGAUCGCAGCAACUGUCACAUAAUUGUAAUUACUUGAAAUAAAAAAAAUACGUAACUACUUAAUUUGCAUUUGACAUUUCUCCGUCAUUGUCAACGGAGAAUGUAUCUUCAUGAUUGGAUGAUUUAUUAAGAUUAUUUUUCAUCGAUUGCCUUAUUAUGAUUCUAAAAAUUUAAUGUUUUUGUUAUUGUCAAUUGAUUAGAUGUUAUUCCUUCUCAUCAGCAUUAUUGUUUGCAGAUAGUUUUAAAUUUAUUGACAGAUUUUACAAAAUAUUCUUCGUUUUCAUU
Molecule: long non-coding RNA, 1795 nt
Organism: Argiope bruennichi
Lineage: Eukaryota; Metazoa; Arthropoda; Arachnida; Araneae; Araneidae
Exons: 3
Source: RefSeq, a predicted model, not a curated record